RNAcentral lists this ribosomal RNA (447 nucleotides) under uncultured bacterium. RNAcentral's name for it is "bacterial SSU rRNA". It matches the Rfam family "Bacterial small subunit ribosomal RNA", at positions 29 to 524 of the family's 1533-position model. The record is from RNAcentral.
AACGAACGCUGGCGGCAGGCUUAACACAUGCAAGUCGAGCGCCCCGCAAGGGGAGCGGCAGACGGGUGAGUAACGCGUGGGAAUCUACCCAGUUCUACGGAAUAACACAGGGAAACUUGUGCUAAUACCGUAUACGCCCUACGGGGAAAGAUUUAUCGGAAUUGGAUGAGCCCGCGUUGGAUUAGCUAGUUGGUGGGGUAAUGGCCUACCAAGGCGACGAUCCAUAGCUGGUCUGAGAGGAUGAUCAGCCACACUGGGACUGAGACACGGCCCAGACUCCUACGGGAGGCAGCAGUGGGGAAUAUUGGACAAUGGGCGAAAGCCUGAUCCAGCCAUGCCGCGUGAGUGAUGAAGGCCCUAGGGUUGUAAAGCUCUUUCAGUGGGGAAGAUAAUGACGGUACCCACAGAAGAAGCCCCGGCUAACUUCGUGCCAGCAGCCGCGGUAAU